RNAcentral lists this ribosomal RNA (467 nucleotides) under uncultured bacterium. RNAcentral's name for it is "partial 16S ribosomal RNA". It matches the Rfam family "Bacterial small subunit ribosomal RNA", at positions 28 to 506 of the family's 1533-position model. The record is from RNAcentral.
GACGAACGCUGGCGGCGUGCUUAACACAUGCAAGUCGAACGGAAAGGCCCUGCUUUUGUGGGGUGCUCGAGUGGCGAACGGGUGAGUAACACGUGAGUAACCUGCCCUUGACUUUGGGAUAACUUCAGGAAACUGGGGCUAAUACCGGAUAGGAGCUCCUGCUGCAUGGUGGGGGUUGGAAAGUUUCGGCGGUUGGGGAUGGACUCGCGGCUUAUCAGCUUGUUGGUGGGGUAGUGGCUUACCAAGGCUUUGACGGGUAGCCGGCCUGAGGGGGUGACCGGCCACAUUGGGACUGAGAUACGGCCCAGACUCCUACGGGAGGCAGCAGUGGGGAAUAUUGCACAAUGGGCGGAAGCCUGAUGCAGCAACGCCGCGUGCGGGAUGACGGCCUUCGGGUUGUAAACCGCUUUCGCCUGUGACGAAGCGUGAGUGACGGUAAUGGGUAAAGAAGCACCGGCUAACUACGG